This 84-nucleotide transfer RNA is filed under the name Lepocinclis playfairiana. RNAcentral's name for it is "tRNA-Ser". It matches the Rfam family "tRNA". From Rfam's summary of the family: Transfer RNA (tRNA) molecules are approximately 80 nucleotides in length. Their secondary structure includes four short double-helical elements and three loops (D, anti-codon, and T loops). The record is from RNAcentral. Lineage: Eukaryota; Euglenozoa; Euglenophyceae; Euglenales; Phacaceae.
GGAGAAGUGUCUGAGCGGACUAAAGAGCUCGAUUGCUAAUCGAGUGUAUGAAUAAUACCGAGGGUUCGAAUCCCUUCUUCUCCG